UACUGGUUAAUUUCAACUCCACU
This 23-nucleotide microRNA is filed under the name Canis lupus familiaris (dog). RNAcentral describes it as "cfa-miR-8888". Lineage: Eukaryota; Metazoa; Chordata; Mammalia; Carnivora; Canidae. The record is from miRBase by way of RNAcentral.